UUAGAUUGAUUCGGUCCUCCAUUUUCUCCCGCAAUUCUCGGAGGGAUUCCGACCUCCCUCUCCGCCGAAACCCUAAUCCAAUUAGAGCUACGUACUGUUUCGCAAGCUCGAUCUCUUCCAUGGAUGGAAAUGGUGGUGUUGGUGGGCACUACCAUGCUCUAUCUCCGGAGGGGGGGUGUUUAGGGUAAUCCGGAGUUAGGAGAGUUGGUAUGAUUUAAGCCCUCACCACUGGUUGUUUUGUUUUGAUUUGAUUUGAUUUGGUUUAAUUUGAUUUGAUUCUAUUCGUAAUUUGCUUUAUUUGUUUUGAGUUAAUUUGUUUUGAUGGGAUUCGAACACAGAACAGGUCCUGUUCUGAUCCCAUGUAGAACAUCAGUUUAACUCAAAAAGCUUGAGUUGAUAGAGAACGGUGUUUUGGAUAGUUAUCUUUAGUAGUUUUAUGGGAGGUGUUCGUCGAAGAAGUUUGGCUAUAACAAUCACACUUUAUUAACCCAUACAUUUCAAGUUAUGGAAUCGCAUAUUGUGACCUUUCGAAUUAGAGAAAUCAAGAUAUUUUGGCAGUGAUGUUAAUAGAAAUUAUUAGCGACAAAGCAGAUUCAUUGAAAUCGAUCAAGUCUAUCACGUAAAUAUCUGCUAAAAUUCAAUGUAUUACUUGUCAAUAGUAAUUUCUUCUUUGUUAAUUUUACUAUCAACUUACAUUUGAAUGAUUUAUAAUGUAAUUAGUAUCAUGAGCUAUCGAAAAAUUUCUAUGUGAAUAUGACAUGAUAUUGAGGUAGGAAAUUUUGGGAGGAAUAAGUGCCAAAAAGAGUAUAUUUGGGGUAUUUUAAUAGAAUGAUUGCCGAAAGAAGUAUGAUGUCGGUGGAUUUUUAUGCUAUGCCAAGUUUUUAUUGGCUUGUGAUGAUGCUUCCUGCAUGGUAUAAGCAUUACACUGGAGCUCGGGCUUUUCAUGAUGCUUCUGUAACGCUUUUGCAAAGAUUCUUUGGUGAUUCACGGUUGUGCUGUAUUCCUGAGAAGAGCUUUGACGGUAGUGAUGAGCAUCAAGAGCAGUGACUAGAGUUUAGAGUGCUGCGGAGGUUCGAGCUGUGGGUGUGAAGGAGACAGAAAAUGAAGUAGAAAAUUGUUAUGGAAUUUGACAGUAACUGGGAAAAGGAUUACACGAGUUUAAAUUAUUUUUCGGAUUUGGAUUGAAUACCGUCUCCGCACCACUUCGAUGAGCAACUUCAUUCCCCCAACGCUUUCUGCUAUUGUGGAAUACCUCUAGCAGAACGCAACAUGUUGGCAAGCUCUCAGCAGCCUAGAGUCUGUACUGAUGUCGGCAGACUACAUAGCAGACCUGCACAGGGUGGUGUACCGGUGAGGAAAUCCAUGUUUAAGACAUAUAGUGACUUUCUAAUGAAAGAUGUUACAAUCACAUAAUUUUUUCCCAAACAUUUCCAAGUUCUGGUGUUGCAAGUUUAGAUUGCUUUAUUGGAGAACGGAAAGAUAUACUGUAAUGAAAUACAGGUAGUAUUACAAGCGAAUGAAAAGUUGACAUGUAGUGUGAUGUGAGUUUAUAUAAGGUUAAGAACAUUUUAGGGAGAAUAGGUAGCAAAAGAACUACAAUUUUAAUGGCUUUUAGCGUGUAUGCUGAUUUUUUAUUGCCUUGUGAUACUUCCCACAUUCUCAUAACUGUUACAUGAAGACUUCUCUCUACUUUCGACCUAUAUAUUCUGAAAUUUCAAGAUUGGUGCUUAUCUAUCCUAGUUGAUAGUACUAAAUUAUAGCUCCUCAUCUUGAAAGGCUUUAUAUAUCUGCAACUUAGAGCUAUUUAGAUCUUAGUGGUUUAUUCUAGCAGCAGCAAAGAGUUUCUAUCUAUUAAUUUGGACUCAACCUGUUUACUGUUGGUAUUCGAGCAAAUAUUUCUUUAUUCGUUCAGAAUUUGUGGUGAUAAGAGUUUGGCUAGGCCUGUGAAUUGGCACUUUAUGAACCAAAACAUUUCACAUCGUUGAAUCAAUAGGGUAAUAUACUCUGUUUUAUUGGAUUAUUUCACUGGUUUCAUAUUUUUGAUUGGCCAAAAUAGAUCAAAUGAACUUAUUUCCUUUCCAGGAGGAUUAAUAAUUGAGAGUGGUGGGAAGAUUAUUGUCUUUGGAGGUGUAGGAAAAGAACAAGUUUUGAUUAGUCAUUACAGCAGAUGAAUUUGUAGAACAAUUAAUUGGUUCUUGGAGGAUGAGGCUUCUCUUGCGCAGACAUCUUAUCAUCGGUUGCAUGUAAGGUUUGCUCUAGCCUGCUCCAAAAUCUGCAGUAGCGGCUUGCUCCCGCAUCUCCGUCCUUCGUCGAGCGGUGUGUUUCCCCAUCUAUAGCCAACAAGUCAAAAACGCAGAAUAAAUAUCAUCUUUAUAGAAAGCAAGUAGCUCUAGUAUUGCACAAAACAUAAGAAACUUGAGGUGUUCUGAAAUUGCCCUUUAUAUGUCUUGUUGUUUGGAAGCUGAAAGUUACUAGACACUAAAAUGUGCUAAAAAAUGUAGAAGAAAAUAGAGCUAAAUAACAAUAAGAUUUGCUCCUUGGUUUUGAAUAUGGGAAAUGAGCAAAGUACAAUACCUAUCUUUAGAAAGAACAUCUGCUCCGAAUUCUAACAAUACUGCAGCAACAAGGUGUAGUCCCUCUGCUGCUGCAAUGUGAAGUGGUGUCCUCAGAUCAUAAUUUUUGGUGUUUGGAUCAACUCCAUAUUCUAAUAAUCUUCGGAGAGUGCUGAUAUUGCUUUCGGUUGCAAUUUUACGGAGAUAACUUCCAUUAUCUUCCAAAUNNNNN
Molecule: long non-coding RNA, 2784 nt
Filed under: Ananas comosus (pineapple)
Lineage: Eukaryota; Viridiplantae; Streptophyta; Magnoliopsida; Poales; Bromeliaceae
Description: long non-coding RNA (ACOM_LNC039845)
Source: RNAcentral